GAACUAGAAAAGUGAACUUUUUAUUCGUCUUACCCCCGACAAAAAUUGGGCCCUUUGCCCUAAGUUUUUUUCAAGCAUCUCUUCGCACCGCUUGCCUGCUACACUCUUAUUCUUUCUCGCCUGCCACUCUCUUCUUCCUUCCUCGCCUGUAAUAAGCUGCUGCUACUGUGUGUCUGCCAUUAUCUUCUUCCUUCCUCGCCUGUCACUCUUUUCUUCCUUCCUCACCUGCAACAAGCUGCUGCUACUGUGUACCUGCCACUCUCUUCUUCCUUCCUUGCCUGCAACAAGCAGCUGCUAAUGUACGAAGCCUGAAACCAAUGUCGGCCAUUGCUCUUUUGUCUCACCAUUGAAGCACAAUCACUCAAAAAAGCUCAAAAAAGCGAAGAAAAAGGCAUUUUCAAAUGGAAUCCCGAACAUGACAAAUAUUUGUUGGAGAGCAUGGUAAAUAUGGGUGCUACAGACUUGCGAAAAAAGGAUUGGAUAGAAAUAUGCAGCAUGAUGAAUGAGGAGUAUGGACACGUAUUUCACAAAGAUAAGCUAAAAAACAAAGUCAAAUGUUUGAAGUUUAAGUAUAGGAGGGUUAGAGACCUCCUUCUAAAGCCUGGUUUCCAUUUUGAUGCAGUUUCUAGGAGAAUUGGAGGGUCUGGUCGGGAUAAGCUAAUGAAGAUGAAGGGAAGUGGAUCGACGUUGAUCUACCUUCUAUGGAGCACAUGGAUCGAGUUUUCGGGGAUUGGUAUAAUGCCGGCCAUGGAAUAUUUUAUUUUGAAUAAUAUGAUUGUGUUCUUGUGAUCAAAACCCAUGCAAAGUGUACUUUUCGAGUUCUUCUAAGGGAUAUUGUAUUUAACUUUUUAUUUUGUAACUUCGUAAUCUUCUUUUCAAUCUAAUGAGAUACAGUAUUCCGGA
Molecule: non-coding RNA, 903 nt
Organism: Amborella trichopoda
Lineage: Eukaryota; Viridiplantae; Streptophyta; Magnoliopsida; Amborellales; Amborellaceae
Source: RefSeq, a predicted model, not a curated record